This 78-nucleotide antisense RNA is filed under the name Streptomyces sp. NRRL S-495. RNAcentral describes it as "ASpks sRNA". It matches the Rfam family "ASpks TB sRNA". The record is from RNAcentral. Lineage: Bacteria; Bacillati; Actinomycetota; Actinomycetes; Kitasatosporales; Streptomycetaceae.
CUUCACCGAACCCAGCCACAACGGCGAAGCGCCCUCGGCCCGCCCGGAACCGUAGGUCGCGAUCAGCGCCUGCGCCUC